CCAAUAGCGUAUAUUAAAGUUGUUGCAGUUAAAAAGCUCGUAGUUGAAUUUCGGGGUUAGUAGGUUGGUCAUGCCUCUGGUAUGCACUGGUCUCACUGAUUCCUCCUUCCUGAUGAGCCGUAAUGCCAUUAAUUUGGUGUUGCGGGGAAUUUGGCCUGUUACUUUGAAAAAAUUAGAGUGUUUAAAACAAGCUAACGCUUGAAUACAUUAGCAUGGAAUAAUGAAAUAGGACGUUCGAUCCUAUUUUGUUGGUUUCUAGGAUUGACGUAAUGAUUAAUAGGGAUAGUUGGGGGCAUUAGUAUUCAAUUGUCAGAGGUGAAAUUCUUGGAUUUAUUGAAGACUAACUACUGCGAAAGCAUUUGCCAAGGAUGUUUUCAUUAAUCAAGAACGAAAGUUAGGGGAUCGAAGACGAUCAGAUACCGUCGUAGUCUUAACCAUAAACUAUGCCGACUAGGGAUCGGAUGAUGUUAAUUUUUUAAUGACUCAUUCGGCGCCUUACG
Molecule: ribosomal RNA, 500 nt
Filed under: uncultured Glomeromycotina
Lineage: Eukaryota; Fungi; Glomeromycota
Description: partial small subunit ribosomal RNA
Rfam family: Eukaryotic small subunit ribosomal RNA
Source: RNAcentral